AUUGAACGCUGGCGGCCGGCCUAACACAUGCAAGUCGAGCGAGCGGCGGACGGGUGAGUAAUGUAUGUGGACUUCCCGAUAGAGGUGUAUAACUCCUGGCCCCGGUUUCUAAUACCGCCUCCUCUCGGAUACCCCAUAUGGGAUUAGCUAGUAGGUGGUGUAAAGGCUCACCUAGGCGACGAUCUGUAGCUGGUCUGAGAGGAUGAUAAGCAAAACUGGGAAGGAGACACGGCCAAGACGCCGACGGAGGAAGCAGUGGGGAAUAGGGGACAAUGGGGGAAAGCGUGAGGCAGAAAUGCGGAGUGUAGGAAGAAGGCGUGAGGGGGGUAAAGUAAGUGAAGGGGGGAGGCGUUACCCGCAGAAGAAGCACCGGCUAACUCCGUGCCAGAAGCCGCGGGAAUAC
Molecule: ribosomal RNA, 403 nt
Filed under: uncultured bacterium
Lineage: Bacteria
Description: partial 16S ribosomal RNA
Rfam family: Bacterial small subunit ribosomal RNA
Source: RNAcentral